Acanthosepion pharaonis is the source of this 86-nucleotide non-coding RNA. The record is from the annotation of a GenBank genome assembly. NCBI's taxonomy places the organism in Eukaryota, Metazoa, Mollusca, Cephalopoda, Sepiida, Sepiidae.
UUGAAACACCAGUUUCCGUACGAUCACCGAAGUUAAGCAACGUCGAGCCUGGUCAGUAUCUAGAUGGGUGACCACUUGGGAAAACU